CCUACGGGAGGCAGCAGCAAGGAAUUUUCGUCAAUGGGCGCAAGCCUGAACGAGCAACGCCGCGUGGAGGAUGACGGCCUUCGGGUUGUAAACUCCUUUUCCGGGGGAUGAUUGUGACCGUACCCUGGGAAUAAGGCUCGGCUAACUCUGUGCCAGCAGCCGCGGUAAGACAGAGGAGCCAAGCGUUGUCCGGAUUGACUGGGCGUAAAGCGCACGCAGGCGGUUGGGCACGUGGGGUGUGAAAGCGGCCCGCUUAACGGGCCGAGGCCAUCCCAUACGGCCCGACUUGAGCCUGGCAGAGGUUCGUGGAAUUGCCGGUGUAGUGGUGAAAUGCGUAGAGAUCGGCAGGAACACCAAGGGGGAAACCAGCGAACUGGGCCAGAGCUGACGCUCAGGUGCGAAAGCGUGGGGAGCGAACCGGAUUAGAUACCCGGGUAGUCCACGCCGUAAACGAUGAAUACUCGGCAUCUGGGGGGCGAUAUUCGUCCGCCGGGUGCCCCAGCUAACGCGGUAAGUAUUCCGCCUGGGAACUACGAGCGCAAGCUUAAAACUCAAAUGAAUUGACGG
Molecule: ribosomal RNA, 567 nt
Filed under: uncultured bacterium
Lineage: Bacteria
Description: bacterial SSU rRNA
Rfam family: Bacterial small subunit ribosomal RNA
Source: RNAcentral